RNAcentral lists this ribosomal RNA (403 nucleotides) under Meta menardi. RNAcentral's name for it is "partial small subunit ribosomal RNA". It matches the Rfam family "Eukaryotic small subunit ribosomal RNA", at positions 30 to 426 of the family's 1831-position model. Lineage: Eukaryota; Metazoa; Arthropoda; Arachnida; Araneae; Tetragnathidae. The record is from RNAcentral.
GCUUGUCUCAAAGAUUAAGCCAUGCAUGUCUCAGUAUAAGCUUUUACACGGCGAAACUGCGAAUGGCUCAUUAAAACAGUUAUCGUUUCUUUGGUGGUUAUUGAUUACAUGGAUAGCCGUGGUAAUUCUAGAGCUAAUACAUGCAGCAGAGCUCCGACCUUCGGGGACGAGCGCUUUUAUUAGACCAAAACCGAUCGAGGCUUCUGCUUCGUUUCCGUGGUGACUCUGUAUAACUUUGGGCUGAUCGCACGGUCUUAGUGCCGGCGACGUAUCUUUCAAGUGUCUGCCUUAUCAACUGUCGAUGGUAGGUUACGCGCCUACCAUGGUCGUAACGGGUAACGGGGGAUCAGGGUUCGAUUCCGGAGAGGGAGCCUGAGAAACGGCUACCACAUCCAAGGAAGGC